UACGUAAGGACCGAGCGUUGUCCGGAAUCAUUGGGCGUAAAGGGUACGUAGGCGGGUCAUUAAGUUAGAAGUCAAAGGCUAUAGCUCAACUAUAGUAAGCUUCUAAAACUGGAGACCUUGAGUAAUGGAAGGGAAAGUGGAAUUCCUAGUGUAGCGGUGGAAUGCGCAGAUAUUAGGAGGAAUACCGGUGGCGAAGGCGACUUUCUGGCCAUUAACUGACGCUGAGGUACGAAAGCGUGGGUAGCAAACAGGAUUAGAUACCCGUGUAGUCC
Molecule: ribosomal RNA, 272 nt
Filed under: uncultured bacterium
Lineage: Bacteria
Description: partial 16S ribosomal RNA
Rfam family: Bacterial small subunit ribosomal RNA
Source: RNAcentral